Molecule: long non-coding RNA, 305 nt
Organism: Ipomoea nil (Japanese morning glory)
Lineage: Eukaryota; Viridiplantae; Streptophyta; Magnoliopsida; Solanales; Convolvulaceae
Exons: 2
Source: RefSeq, a predicted model, not a curated record
CAAGACUUAAGAAGUCCCUUCAAGCUAAAGAGGAGCCUUGAAUCCUUAAAGGAUUACGAGGAAAAUUUUAAGAGAAAUUCGCUUCAAGAAUUGAUGAAAGCAUGAAGUGAAAGGGCGCGUUAGAAGAAGAAAGGGAUAAAUGUAAUAGAUGUAAUUGAAGGAUUUGACGGUUUUGUGAUUAGCCUUGCAUCUAGUCUUGAUAGGUUAGAUGUGGCGGUAGCACCCUAUAAGUGUUAGAAUUUGAAUUACGAAUUAUUUGAGACUUGAAUUAAAGUACAAUUUAUAAGAAAAUUUAUUUUUGGUAA